GACAAAACAAGGAAAUAACCAACGACCCAAAGUCCACACUGCAAAACUUCUGUAAGUCUAUUAACGUAAAACAUACUCCAAAGUUUCUAAAACUAAACAAAACCAUCGAUAUCUCUCAACCAUCUCUCUCAACGCCCGAAAUUUGUUGGAGCAAAAAACAAUGUUGCCGUUCGUUCAAGUUUACAAGAAUCUUAUAUUCCAAACCUUACUCUCUUUGUCACUCACUCUAAUCCUCACAUUCCUUAAAAUCCCAAUUUUGUUUCUCCAAGGUCUCCACACUUACAUCCACCCUGAAAACAUUGGCCACGGCAACAACGCCUCCUCUGGUGUUAGAGCUGCUAUUCGUAGACCUUCCAGCUCAGAUUCAGGUCCUGGACUGGAUGGUUAUCAAUCUUUGUCAUCAAGGACCACCGCGGAGCUCAAGAAGAGGAACAAAUCUAAAGAGAAGUUUGAGUUCGAUGAAAACAAUGCCCAGAUCUUCAGGCUGAAACUCGACGAGGGUCAUCUUCAAACGAGGCUUUUUUUCAAUGAGUAUCAUAGUUCUUUUGUUUUUUCCUGUGUGGGUAUUUCCUGUUUGUUGCUUUACAAGUAUUUAGGUAAGUCUGAGGGUUCUGGGAAUUUGGCAAAUGGGAAUUUAAUUCCGGUUGUUUUUGGAUUUAUUGGUUUGACCAAAGUUUUUUUAGCACUUGCAAAGAUAUCGUUUGAGAAAUCUGCUUCUAAGAGGUCGGAGAAGCAAUUUAGUGCAAUUUUAGGCGUUGUGGGUUUUCUUAUAGGGAUUAUGAUUUGUUCUGAAAUUGGACCAGCGGUUUUUGAUUUCCAUUUCGAUUCACUUGAAGUGUCUUGGAGGAUUUUUGUUUCUGUUUUAAUGGGAUUCCUUGCUGGUUUUUUGUAUAUGCCUGCCGGGAAGAAUGCACGGUCCUUUUGGCUUGGGACUGAUCAGCUUAGAUGUAAUUUGUCCAUAAUUUCUUGUGGAUGGUUUGCUAGAAUGAUUUUAUUUGCCAAUUAUUUGUUAACUAUGUUCACAGCUUUACUUUGGAUUAGUCCAUUAACUGAAAUUCUUGUUAACAAGAAUAGUUGUGAUGGCAGAGGAGCUGCUGAGAAGUUGGUUGGAAAUGUGGGUUUUUCAAAUUUGGAGUUUACCAGGCUUAGGGUUUUCUGCUUACUGCUUUCCGGAGUCCUGCAAAUUGUGGCUUUACGUUCAAACUUGCAGAUGUUUUUGAAUGAAGCAGUUUUGUCUUGGUAUCAAAGGUUACAUGCCAGCAAGGUCCCAGAUUUGGAUUUUAGUCGUGCAAAGGUUUUUUUGCACAAUCACUACUUAUGUCUUGCAGUUUUGCAAUUCUUUGCACCACCAGUAUUGAAGUGGCUUUGUUGAUGGCUUGGUGGAUCAUACUUCUGUGGACAGUUUUUACUUCAGCAAGUCUGGUGUUUUAUCAACGUGGUAUUUUAAAUAUGCAAGAGUAGGAUGAUGUGAACCAUAGUUGAAUUUUUUUUAUUUCACAUCUAUGACUCAUAAGAGAGACAUAAACUGCUGUCAGAAUGCAUAGCUGGACGAUUCCAUCGGUUAUUUACUGAACAACAAAGCUGCUACCAGGUGAUAUAUUUGUUAGUGUUAUAAAUUAUUGUCAUUAUGAACAAAGCGAUGUAAUUUCCUAGCAUUAUUGUCAUCAUUAUUUUCACUCUAUUCUAUUUUGUGGAGUUUAAGGACCACAUGUUGCUCUCAUAAGGUUAAUUUUUCCCAUGCCAUGCUACAGAACUUAAUCCUAUCAUUAAGCUGGCAUGUGAUGUACCAACUGUAAUUGAUGAAGUUUUUACUACCAUUUAAGUGCUCUAAUUUUGGAUGAAUGGUUUUAGAUUAUAUAGGAAUACUAAAGUUUAUGUACUUAUGUUUCUUUGACUUUUGGUGUACCUGUUACAUGUUUGGAGUAAUGGUUUUGAAUUUAUGCUCUGUUAGUUGCUGAAAACAACUUCAAAUGCAAUUCUCUUCUUUCAAUUGAGUGGAAGUGGCUGCUGUAAUUGUGCAUACUACCCGUCACUCUAAUUUAUAUGCAAUCACAAUUGUGGCAGUAUAGUUGAUUUAGACUCGGUGCACCAGCUUCAUACUUUUUAUCGGAGGAUGAUUUUUAUCAUAGUCAACACGCAUGGAGCUUGUCUUGUAUGUGUGGUAGUAAUUGCAAUUUCCUGCCUUGACCUGUCAGGAAAAUUUUGAAGAACAAUGAUGGAUGAGUCUUAGAGGAAGCUUGGACACUGAAACAAUGCUUAAAUUUUAAGAUCUUUGAACACAAUGUUUAAUCAUAAUAUUUAAGAUCUGGAGCUCUUGUGAUCUUUAUUGCUAGUUAAUGUAACAGAAAAUAUUUGUUUUUCAUCUCAAGUGAUAUGCAGACACUGCUGCAUUGAACUAGUUUAUAGGAAGUAAAAUUUUGGUGGUUUUGAGUUUCAUCGAGAAAAGCUUGUUAGUGCUUUCUGUUGGAUGGUCUGUCAGACACAUAACCGUAUGGUUCAAGUUUGCUGAGAAUUUGGUUGAUAUUCGGCCCAUCCACUUCUAGGAAUCUAGGUGUGCAUAAUCAUCCAUUUAGAAUAAGAAUUGAUUUGUGUAAAUCUAUUUGAUGUUGUUAUCAAAAUGGUUUGCUAGAGUCUGUUAGUAGGUCCUUUGCCGGUUUCGUGGUUAGCAUCGAAAAGCUGAUUGUUAAUCAACCAAGGUGCUAUCUGCAACUGAAGAUCUUUUGUGGACAAACUAGUAAAACUGAUUUCAAUCAAUGCUAAUGCAUGUUGCAGGUUCAACCGUCCAGAUGCUACAUAAAAUCCUUUUUCAUUCAAAUGCUGUCUGGUGUAUUCCUGAAAGGGCUUUUUCUGAUUCUGAAUCUGAAUUCUGGAUCAAACGGUAUGGGUGGGAUGAAAUCUUUACUUUAGAUUUGGUGUCAUUGCACAUUUUCAGUCCUCUGAUUUGUGCUCUUUUCUUAGGUUAUUAAAUUUUGUUCUUAUUUAUAACUUAUGACACCUGGUUCACCUGAAUUUUUAUCCAUUGAUAAAAGAUAUGAAAUAAAUGCUUGCUAGUCCAUUAGU
Molecule: non-coding RNA, 3060 nt
Organism: Durio zibethinus
Lineage: Eukaryota; Viridiplantae; Streptophyta; Magnoliopsida; Malvales; Malvaceae
Source: RefSeq, a predicted model, not a curated record